This 253-nucleotide ribosomal RNA is filed under the name uncultured bacterium. Its description in RNAcentral is "partial 16S ribosomal RNA". It matches the Rfam family "Bacterial small subunit ribosomal RNA", at positions 524 to 776 of the family's 1533-position model. The record is from RNAcentral.
UACAGGGGGGGCAAGCGUUGUUCGGAAUUACUGGGCGUAAAGGGUCUGUAGGUGGCCAACUAAGUCAAACGUGAAAUCCCUCAGCUUAACUGGGGAACUGCGUCUGAUACUGGAUGGCUCGAGUGUGGGAGAGGAAUGCGGAAUUCCAGGUGUGGCGGUGAAAUGCGUAGAUAUCUGGAGGAACACCGGUGGCGAAGGCGGCAUUCUGGACCACAACUGACACUGAGAGACGAAAGCCAGGGGAGCAAACGGG